UCUGGAUAAAUUAAAAGAUUAUUU
RNAcentral lists this non-coding RNA (24 nucleotides) under Cricetulus griseus (Chinese hamster). Lineage: Eukaryota; Metazoa; Chordata; Mammalia; Rodentia; Cricetidae. The record is from RNAcentral.